CAGGUACUGGCUAAGUUCUGGGACUAUAAUGAGUCAGACCGUCCCUGUCUGCACAGAACAGAGUUUCUUAGCAAAGGCAGACAUCCACCCAAUAAUCACAUACUCAAACAUGAUUACAAACUGAUGAGUGCUGGGGAGGAACAGGGCGGCAUUUUAUGAGAGCCCAGAGGUCUGAGUGAAGGUUUCCCAGAUAAAGUGAGCCAUGAGCCGCCCUGAGGUUGAUGAGGCAUAGCAGUACUGGUGGUGUGGUAGACACAGAGAUGGCAGUCACACCUCCCUGCUGAAGCACACAAGGCAAGACACACAAAUCCUGUCACCUCCACUGCCCCAGGGCCUCCCCAGCAGGUUGGCUGAGGCUUUGUCAGGCCUGUGUCACGGUUUUCCUUUCUCUGCCCAUGCUGCUUCCUCCCACUUCCUCUUUCAGGGGUUCACUCCUAAUAUCACACCCCAUCCCGGGGUCAGCAGUGAGGACAACUUCCUAGGCCAGGGACCACUAAAGGCCUAGCGAUCUGAGGGACUCCACAGUGACUGCAGGACAAACAGUGAGGGAGGACAAGGCUGGAAUACAAGACAUGAGUGGCAUCAGGACAGGCAGGCCAGGGAAGCAUUUUGGACUUCCCUAAAUGUGAGACUUGAAACCGUGAAGCUACUAGAAAAAUAAUAAUAAUGAGGAGGAGGAAAGCUCUUCAAUUUAAAUUUUAAAAUCAUUGACGAAAGAAUUUUUGUCCUCAUCCAAGAACUGUUGAGAACUUCUGGAACGCUGAGAGUAGGGGGGACAACAUAAUCAGAUCUAUAUUUAAAUUCUGUUUCUUGGAGGAUGGAGUAGAUCAGGGGCAUCGAAGGGUGCUAGAGAAUGAAUUGUGGAACCAACAAGGUCCAGUGCUGGCUGGAUGAGGGCUGGGUGGUGGGAAGUGGACAGGCUUGUCUGCAUCACCAGCACCUGGCACAUCAUCUAGCACAGAGGUUUUUAGUACACUCUUGUUGCUUGAGUGAGAAAGUAGAUUCUGCAAGGUCCAUGCAGUCCAGCACGGGAUGGGUGGUAGGUGGUAAGAGCAGUGUCUAGGAAUUGAGUUCAGCUUGUCUUUGGACUCCUUGAGGUCCGUUCGUAGAUAACCACAGACCAGAACAGAAAGUGAGUCUUCCAAGAGAAGCCUAUGGACAUGAAAGGGCUGCAAGGGAGGGAUGAAUAACCUCCUAGGAUGCUAAACCAUAGUUGGGCUGAGUGCUUGAGCGACUCUUUCAGAGCUAACUCAUAGUCUCUAGCUCUCAGGGACAUUCAGGAUGCCUGGGAGACGUUAGUGUUCUCAGUAAUCAAAUGCCUUGACUCAUGCUCUCGUGAGCAUGUGAUCCUAAGGUGACUGUCCAAGGAUCCCAGACAGUGAUUCCAAAGUGUUAUCCAAGGAUCACCUGAGUGUUUGCUUGAAAUGCAGAUUUCCAAAGCCUUGGCCUGAACUUGCUGGUUAUGAAAUUCCAAGAGUAGAUUGCCCCAGGAAUUUUCUCAUAAUGAAGUUUGAGAAGCAUAAGGGCAGGGCCAGGCUGGGCGUGUCAUGGUAGGAAAAGGUCAAAUCAGGGAGGUCUGAAUUCUAGCAGCAAAUAUGUCAUUAAUCUCAUUUGGCAUUCUUGAACCAGGGCUAUCCCCUCCUCCAGCCUUAGCUUCCUCUUCUACCUGCAUUUCUACCUGAAUCCAGACCAUGUGCUCUUCUAAGAAGCUUAAGGAUACUAAACCUCCCCUUCCAACCCAGGCGGCUCCCCUAUUCACCAGAGUGCACACCUGGCUCAGCGAGUCUCUAUUCCCUCACCUGGCAGUGAGCGGAACAACAGUGCCUGCUUAGAUGGUUGCUGAGAUGAUUAGAAAUGAUUCAUUAAGUUUCUCAUUUAUUUGAGGGACAGAGAGAGUAACAGCUCCAAUCUUCUGUUUCAUUCCCUAAAUACUAAAUAUCCACAGCCGCCAAGACUGGGCUGAAGCCAAAGCUGGUAGCCAGGAGCUCAACCAAGUCUUCCACAUGGGUGGAAAGACCCCAAUUACUUGAACCAUCACCACUGCCUCCCAAGGUCUGCAUUGGCAGGGAGCUGAAGCAGAUCAAUGUGUCCAGCUCCCUUAGGAAUCUCCAAAUUUACAAAUUUACCAUGAAAAUAGCCAAGAAGUAGUGAUUCCUCCUCUGCCCUUCAGGGAUGAUUUUUAUCUUAAACAAGGCAAAAAGGAUGGAGACUUGUAAAUCAGAUCUAUUGUUGAGUUUGUUCCUACCUCCUUGAUUGACAGUUUGUUACCCAAGAUUGUACUUAAAAACUUCAUUAUCACCAGCCCUUGGGCUCCCUCUCUUGGACCCCCCCCCCCUUUGCCGCUUUGGCAGGAGGUUUCCAACCUGAAUAAACCCUAUUUUACUUUCAA
Molecule: non-coding RNA, 2389 nt
Organism: Oryctolagus cuniculus (rabbit)
Lineage: Eukaryota; Metazoa; Chordata; Mammalia; Lagomorpha; Leporidae
Source: RefSeq, a predicted model, not a curated record